This 459-nucleotide ribosomal RNA is filed under the name uncultured bacterium. Its description in RNAcentral is "partial 16S ribosomal RNA". It matches the Rfam family "Bacterial small subunit ribosomal RNA", at positions 338 to 795 of the family's 1533-position model. The record is from RNAcentral.
CCUACGGGUGGCAGCAGUGAGGAAUAUUGGUCAAUGGCCGGGAGGCUGAACCAGCCAAGUCGCGUGAGGGAAGACGGCCCUACGGGUUGUAAACCUCUUUUGUCAGGGAGCAAGGUGCAGGUCGGGACCUGCUGUGAGAGUACCUGAAGAAACAGCAUCGGCUAACUCCGUGCCAGCAGCCGCGGUACGACGGAGGAUGCGAGCGUUAUCCGGAUUUAUUUGGUUUAAAGGGUGCGAAGGCGGAGGCACAAGUCAGCGGUAAAAUCGCGGGGCUCAACCCCGCUCCGCCGUUUAAACUGUGUGCAGUGAGUGCGCGAAGGGUAGGCGGAAUGCGUGGGGUAGCGGUGAAAUGCAUAGAUAUCACGCAGAACUCCGAUCGCGAAGGCAGCCUACCGGCGCGCAACUGACGCUCAUGCACGAAAGCGUGGGUAUCGAACAGGAUUAGAUACCCUAGUAGUC